Molecule: ribosomal RNA, 468 nt
Filed under: uncultured bacterium
Lineage: Bacteria
Description: partial 16S ribosomal RNA
Rfam family: Bacterial small subunit ribosomal RNA
Source: RNAcentral
GACGAACGCUGGCGGCGUGCUUAACACAUGCAAGUCGAACGGAAAGGCCCUGCUUUUGUGGGGUGCUCGAGUGGCGAACGGGUGAGUAACACGUGAGUAACCUGCCCUUUACUUUGUGAUAACUUCAGGAAACUGGUGCUAAUACCUGAUAGGAGCUCCUGCUGCAUGGUGGGGGUUGGAAAGUUUCGGCGGUUGGGGAUGGACUCGCGGCUUAUCAGCUUGUUGGUGGGGGAGUGGCUUACCAAGGCUUUGACGGGUAGCCGGCCUGAGAGGGUGACCGGCCACAUGGGGACUGAGAGACGGCCCAGACUCCUACGGGAGGCAGCAGUGGGGAAUAUGGCACAAUGGGCGGAAGCCUGAUGCAGCAACGUCGCGUGCGGGAUGACGGCCUUCGGGUUGUAAACCGCUUUCGCCUGUGACGAAGCGUGAGUGACGGUAAUGGGUAAAGAAGCACCGGCUAACUACGUG